Molecule: ribosomal RNA, 337 nt
Filed under: uncultured soil bacterium
Lineage: Bacteria
Description: bacterial SSU rRNA
Rfam family: Bacterial small subunit ribosomal RNA
Source: RNAcentral
AGAACGAACGCUGGCGGCAUGCCUAACACAUGCAAGUCGAACGAGACCUUCGGGUUUAGUGGCGCACGGGUGCGUAACGCGUGGGAAUCUGCCCUUGGGUUCGGAAUAACAGUUGGAAACGACUGCUAAUACCGGAUGAUGACGUAAGUCCAAAGAUUUAUCGCCCAGGGAUGAGCCCGCGUAGGAUUAGCUAGUUGGUGAGGUAAAGGCUCACCAAGGCGACGAUCCUUAGCUGGUCUGAGAGGAUGAUCAGCCACACUGGGACUGAGACACGGCCCAGACUCCUACGGGAGGCAGCAGUGGGGAAUAUUGGACAAGUCGGGACGAACGACCGUAG